Molecule: ribosomal RNA, 464 nt
Filed under: uncultured bacterium
Lineage: Bacteria
Description: partial 16S ribosomal RNA
Rfam family: Bacterial small subunit ribosomal RNA
Source: RNAcentral
CCUACGGGAGGCAGCAGUAGGGAAUCUUCCACAAUGGGCGAAAGCCUGAUGGAGCAACGCCGCGUGGGUGAAGAAGGUCUUCGGAUCGUAAAACCCUGUUGUUAGAGAAGAAAGUGCGUGAGAGUAACUGUUCACGUUUCGACGGUAUCUAACCAGAAAGCCACGGCUAACUACGUGCCAGCAGCCGCGGUAAUACGUAGGUGGCAGGGUUAUCCGGAUUUAUUGGGCGUAAAGGGAACGCAGGCGGUCUUUUAAGUCUGAUGUGAAAGCCUUCGGCUUAACCGGAGUAGGGCAUUGGAAACUGGGAGACUUGAGUGCAGGAGAGGUAAGUGGAAUUCCCGGUGUAGCGGUGGAAUGCGUAGAUAUCGGGAGGAACACCAGAGGCGAAGGCGACUUACUGGACUGUAACUGACGCUGAGGCUCGAAAGCGUGGGGAGCAAACAGGAUUAGAUACCCGAGUAGUC